Molecule: ribosomal RNA, 429 nt
Filed under: Bacteroidota bacterium
Lineage: Bacteria; Pseudomonadati; Bacteroidota
Description: Bacteroidetes bacterium partial 16S ribosomal RNA
Rfam family: Bacterial small subunit ribosomal RNA
Source: RNAcentral
UAGGGAAUCUUCGGCAAUGGGGGGAACCCUGACCGAGCAACGCCGCGUGAGUGAAGAAGGUUUUCGGAUCGUAAAGCUCUGUUGUUAAGGAAGAACGAGUGUGAGAAUGGAAAGUUCAUGCUGUGACGAUACUUAACCAGAAAGGGACGGCUAACUACGUGCCAGCAGCCGCGGUAAUACGUAGGUCCCGAGCGUUGUCCGGAUUUAUUGGGCGUAAAGCGAGCGCAGGCGGUUAGAUAAGUCUGAAGUUAAAGGCAGUGGCUCAACCAUUGUAGGCUUUGGAAACUGUUUAACUUGAGUGCAGAAGGGGAGAGUGGAAUUCCAUGUGUAGCGGUGAAAUGCGUAGAUAUAUGGAGGAACACCGGUGGCGAAAGCGGCUCUCUGGUCUGUAACUGACGCUGAGGCUCGAAAGCGUGGGGAGCGAACAGG